GCCCGGGUGGCGAAAUUGGCAGACGCACCACCUUGAGGGGGUGGCGGCCUUAUGGCUGUGCUGGUUCGACUCCAGUCCCGGGCA
This 84-nucleotide transfer RNA is filed under the name Bacteroidota bacterium. Its description in RNAcentral is "Bacteroidetes bacterium (soil metagenome) tRNA-Leu". It matches the Rfam family "tRNA". From Rfam's summary of the family: Transfer RNA (tRNA) molecules are approximately 80 nucleotides in length. Their secondary structure includes four short double-helical elements and three loops (D, anti-codon, and T loops). Further hydrogen bonds mediate the characteristic L-shaped molecular structure. tRNAs have two regions of fundamental functional importance: the anti-codon, which is responsible for specific mRNA codon recognition, and the 3' end, to which the tRNAs corresponding amino acid is attached (by aminoacyl-tRNA synthetases). tRNAs cope with the degeneracy of the genetic code in two manners: having more than one tRNA (with a specific anti-codon) for a particular amino acid; and 'wobble' base-pairing, i.e. permitting non-standard base-pairing at the 3rd anti-codon position. The record is from RNAcentral. Lineage: Bacteria; Pseudomonadati; Bacteroidota.